AUGCUAGCUUCUACAGCACAUAAACUAAAAUUAGACUGAUACACAGAAGAUUAGUUUGGUCUCUGCACAGGAAGACAUGCAAAUUCAUGAAGCAUUCCGUACUUCU
This is a small nuclear RNA of Ochotona princeps (American pika), 106 nucleotides long. Lineage: Eukaryota; Metazoa; Chordata; Mammalia; Lagomorpha; Ochotonidae. The record is from RefSeq and is a predicted model, not a curated record.